UUGACAGCUCUGAAUAUUUAAGUUCUUUAUUUAUCCAUAGAUUAGGUAUAACAGCACAGACAGCGGCGGGGAAUGCUUACCUGCAGUUCUGUGCCAAUAUGUUUCAAUCCUAGCCUGGAGGAACCACCUCUUAGGGUGAGAGGUUAGUUCAGCAUCUGCACACACAAAAUUCUUGUCUAUG
Molecule: small RNA, 181 nt
Filed under: Chrysemys picta bellii (western painted turtle)
Lineage: Eukaryota; Metazoa; Chordata; Testudines; Emydidae
Description: TUC338 (ENSCPBG00000008444.1)
Source: RNAcentral